UUAAAUUGAAGAGUUUGAUCAUGGCUCAGAUUGAACGCUGGCGGCAGGCCUAACACAUGCAAGUCGAACGGUAACAGGAAGAAGCUUGCUUCUUUGCUGACGAGUGGCGGACGGGUGAGUAAUGUCUGGGAAACUGCCUGAUGGAGGGGGAUAACUACUGGAAACGGUAGCUAAUACCGCAUAACGUCGCAAGACCAAAGAGGGGGACCUUCGGGCCUCUUGCCAUCGGAUGUGCCCAGAUGGGAUUAGCUA
This 252-nucleotide ribosomal RNA is filed under the name Escherichia coli. Its description in RNAcentral is "partial 16S ribosomal RNA". It matches the Rfam family "Bacterial small subunit ribosomal RNA", at positions 1 to 247 of the family's 1533-position model. The record is from RNAcentral. Lineage: Bacteria; Pseudomonadati; Pseudomonadota; Gammaproteobacteria; Enterobacterales; Enterobacteriaceae.